This 260-nucleotide ribosomal RNA is filed under the name uncultured bacterium. Its description in RNAcentral is "partial 16S ribosomal RNA". It matches the Rfam family "Bacterial small subunit ribosomal RNA", at positions 95 to 354 of the family's 1533-position model. The record is from RNAcentral.
UUGGCGGACGGGUGAGUAACGCGUGGGGAACCUGCCCUGUACAGGGGGAGUAACACUUAGAAAUAGGUGCUAAUACCGCAUAAGCGCACAGUAUCGCAUGAUACAGUGUGAAAAACUCCGGUGGUACAGGAUGGACCCGCGUCUGAUUAGCUGGUUGGCGGGGUAACGGCCCACCAAGGCGACGAUCAGUAGCCGGCCUGAGAGGGUGAACGGCCACAUUGGGACUGAGACACGGCCCAAACUCCUACGGGAGGCAGCAG